GCCAGGCGUGGUGGCACACGCCUGUAAUCCCAGUGGCUCAGGAGGCUGAGGCAGGAGGAUCAUUCAAAGCCAGCCUCAGCAACUUAGCGAGGCCCUGUCUCUA
Molecule: small RNA, 103 nt
Filed under: Marmota monax (woodchuck)
Lineage: Eukaryota; Metazoa; Chordata; Mammalia; Rodentia; Sciuridae
Source: RNAcentral